Long non-coding RNA from Felis catus (domestic cat), 591 nucleotides. RefSeq lists it as uncharacterized. The transcript has 4 exons. NCBI's taxonomy places the organism in Eukaryota, Metazoa, Chordata, Mammalia, Carnivora, Felidae. The record is from RefSeq and is a predicted model, not a curated record.
CCAGAAGGGGAGGGGAGGUGAGAGGAGCACUGUGCCAGAGGAACCCAAACCCACCCCGCAUAUGACUGGCGCUCAGGGAUCGAGGCGAGAAAGCAGCCAAACCAGGAGGGGCGCUGUGCGUCCAGCUGUGGAGGCCCAGCUGGUCACCCCCACUCUUUCACCUGCGCAAAGAGAAAUGGACACAGCUUCACCAAGGAAGAAAGUGAGUCAGCCCACACUCUUUCCCUCUUUCCACUGGACAUCUCUCAGGCUGCCCUGCAUGACUUCUUGCUCCACCUAAGGCUACUUUAGAUGCUGUCACUUAGCCUGAACAGUCAGAAUGUUGUAAUGGUUAAAUGCACAGCUCUGGAGUCAGCUGCCUGAGAUCAUAGCCCAUAUACAACACCCACAUAGCCAUGUGACCUUGAACAAGUUUCCAAACCUCUCUCUGACUGAAGUUUUCCAAGAUCUGCCUUAUAACAUUCAAUGAGGAAAAUAAGCUCUUUUAAGAUUUCCUGUUGCAGGGGCGCCUGGGUGGCCCAGUUGGUUAAGCGUCCGACUUCACCCAGGUCACGAUCUCGCGGUCCGUGAGUUCAAGCCCCACAUCAGGCU